This 233-nucleotide long non-coding RNA is filed under the name Mytilus galloprovincialis (Mediterranean mussel). Lineage: Eukaryota; Metazoa; Mollusca; Bivalvia; Mytilida; Mytilidae. The record is from RNAcentral.
CAUGGUCAUGUGAAAUCUCGUGUUUGUCCUAAGAUGAUGAAAGUUCGGCGUUGAUUUAAAACUAAGUUCACAGGCUUAGUUCAGAGAAAUUUCAGUUUCAGGCCUGGAACGUAGAACCAAAAUUUCGAAAAUUCUUUAAGUUUUCUUUGUACAAUCAAUUUAUCGUAGGGCAUCACACCAUGAUACGUUCACCCACCCCUUAAGAUAAAUAGUUGAGUUACUGACCUUGUCUG